UACGGAGGGUGCAAACGUUGCUCGGAAUUAUUGGGCGUAAAGAGCUCGUAGGCGGUUCGUCGCGUCGGCUGUGAAAUCCCGAGGCUCAACCUCGGGUCUGCAGUCGAUACGGGCGGACUGGAGUUCGGCAGGGGAGACUGGAAUUCCUGGUGUAGCGGUGAAAUGCGCAGAUAUCAGGAGGAACACCGGUGGCGAAGGCGGGUCUCUGGGCCGAUACUGACGCUGAGGAGCGAAAGCGUGGGGAGCGAACAGG
Molecule: ribosomal RNA, 253 nt
Filed under: uncultured bacterium
Lineage: Bacteria
Description: partial 16S ribosomal RNA
Rfam family: Bacterial small subunit ribosomal RNA
Source: RNAcentral